Gossypium hirsutum (cotton) is the source of this 107-nucleotide non-coding RNA. NCBI's taxonomy places the organism in Eukaryota, Viridiplantae, Streptophyta, Magnoliopsida, Malvales, Malvaceae. The record is from Rfam.
AAACCUUGCAUCUGGCAUUUUCUAAUUAACUCCUUGAAAAACUUUGAUGCUUCAUAUAAUGUUUCAUCCGUAGGUUGUCGAAAGGACGUGACAUCGUUGCUCAGUUU